GUGGGUUUCUAGGAAUAUGAAAAUGGGUUAUACUAUACAUAUUGCUUAGCAGUUUGCUAAGUUUAUAUAUAUAUCUUUCUCAUCCCAUCUUUUGAAAGUUCAAGUUUUAAUGUUCUAUACAUUAAAGCAAAUUCAUACAUUUCAUGUUGUUAUUCAUUUUAUUCAAGAAGAGAAAAAUAGAAAUCCUAAAAUGCAGUACUUCCAAAGGGAAGUACAGCUAGUCUUCAUAAAGGUGGCUACCAUAAAUGAUACUGUGACACUGUAUGUGCUCUAAUUUUCCUUUGAAAUAGGCAAGGAAAAAGUAGGUGGAGAUAUUGCCAAAAAUAAUGCCAUUACCAAAAGUAGCAUGGAAAUUUUAUUUACUUAAAAGUACGAAUAUUUUCAAGAACUUCAGAGAGCCUGUGAUGUACCUGACAAAUGAAAGAUGAAAAAAAAUUUUACAUGUAUUUUGUGACACUUGACUAACUUUCCAGUCUAUCUAAUUAACUACUAUCUAAUCCAUUCCCCAAAUUUAGUGAGUUUUUACGUAAUCAUGCAACUCGUUUUGACCUU
Molecule: long non-coding RNA, 552 nt
Filed under: Bos taurus (domestic cattle)
Lineage: Eukaryota; Metazoa; Chordata; Mammalia; Artiodactyla; Bovidae
Description: long non-coding RNA NONBTAT016998
Source: RNAcentral